Molecule: ribosomal RNA, 414 nt
Filed under: Escherichia fergusonii
Lineage: Bacteria; Pseudomonadati; Pseudomonadota; Gammaproteobacteria; Enterobacterales; Enterobacteriaceae
Description: bacterial SSU rRNA
Rfam family: Bacterial small subunit ribosomal RNA
Source: RNAcentral
CAGCCUGAUGCGCCAUGCCGCGUGUAUGAAGAAGGCCUUCGGGUUGUAAAGUACUUUCAGCGGGGAGGAAGGGAGUAAAGUUAAUACCUUUGCUCAUUGACGUUACCCGCAGAAGAAGCACCGGCUAACUCCGUGCCAGCAGCCGCGGUAAUACGGAGGGUGCAAGCGUUAAUCGGAAUUACUGGGCGUAAAGCGCACGCAGGCGGUUUGUUAAGUCAGAUGUGAAAUCCCCGGGCUCAACCUGGGAACUGCAUCUGAUACUGGCAAGCUUGAGUCUCGUAAAGGGGGGUAGAAUUCCAGGUGUAGCGGUGAAAUGCGUAGAGAUCUGGAGGAAUACCGGUGGCGAAGGCGGCCCCCUGGACGAAGACUGACGCUCAGGUGCGAAAGCGUGGGGAGCAAACAGGAUUAGAUACC